UCAUCAUAUAAUAGAACGGGAGAAUGUGGAGCUCCAUGUCUGCCGUCUUGCCGUCAACUCCUUAACCUGAAAAGAAUCAUAAAUAAUAGGGUAUGAGUGUGCAAGCACACUCAGUGGGGUAAACACUGCAAGCAGUUAUAACCAAUUGUGUAAUGAAUCAUAACAUGUUGAACUCUUAUAAUUUUUCACUUAGCUGACAUCUUGUGAGACUAGUCUCGGUCCCUUGUGGACCUGACCCCUUGUGGGCCGUUCAGCUCUUUGAUCCCUUGUGGAUCCGACCCCUUGUGGGUCCCAUUAGUUCAUAUGAAUGACGCACAACACAACAAUGAUUAUAACCAUGUAACAACUACGCUUACAGAUAAAAGUAAACCCCACCUUAAGUGAUUGAAUUCAAACCUCUUCAAGCUUGCUUCGGUUGUCCUCCUCGAGCUUUGGAUGCGCCGCUCCUAGCACUUGAAACACUUUAAACUUAGUUUCAUUACAAGCACUUAUUUUUUAAUAAGCUCUCAUUUCUUUAAACAAUAUUUUUAAUCUCUCUUGAAUAUAUUCUUGAAAAUUCUACAAUACACUUGAAGCCGAAGAUCAUAUUUGAACAUUUUAUGAAUCUACAAAUUAUAAAUCCAUAGUUCAAUUACUAGUAUAAAUUAUACUAAUCUAACUUCAUUAUAAUCAUAUAAUUUAAUUAUAUAAUAUACUAAGUUUAGAUCACCAUAAUCCUUAUAACUUAUUUCAAUUCUUGGCUAAUGAUAUUAAAAGCAAAUGUCUUGAUUAUCUAUUUGUGUAUUCAAGGUGAAACAAUCAUCAAAAAUCUAAUUCAAAUGCCCAAAUAAAAAUUAAAAUAAGCAUAACAUAUUAAAUUAAACUCAUAUUCGACACGUAAGGAGCUACAUCUCGACGUCUAUUCCGGCCAAUUCGACCUUAGAUCUCAAGAAGAAAACCUAUGAUUAGAACGUCUACGACAUGAGCUACAAAACCCCUAAACUUAUUCUCCCUCACGGCGUCGAUUUGACGCCGGAAAGUAGUCUCAAACUCGCGCGGAGACAAUCCCGCACAGACCCGACACCCUGACUUGAUUGGCUCAUAACUCCCUCGUCCGGUGUCGGAUUGACGAUCCGAAGGUACCGUUGGAAAGCCAACGACGAUAGCUUUCCAAUGGUACCUAUAUUGAUGGGGUUUGAUGACAGAAAACAGAUGAAAACGGAUCGCAAGAUACAAUCCUGCUGCUGUCAAAAACAGGGGAAAAUAAAGCACAGAAAAACACAUGCCGGCAGCCACCACGCCGCCGGAACCACUGUUCCGGUAAUCCCUCCUCCUCACUCCCACACAAGAGACUCCAUCCCACCAAUAUCUACUCAAGACCUUUAGCCAUCGAUUAAGAAGAACAAGAAUGGAAGAGAAGUGAUAAACCCUUUCAAAUUCAACAAUCAAAAUUGAGAAAAAAACAAGUAAUGGAUUAGAAGAAAUUACCUUAAUUAGCUGCUGGAAAUUAAAUGAGAGAAUGAGUGAAGAGUGGUGAUAUGCAAGGAAUGAGAGAGUGAGAGAUUGGGAGAGAUAUGAGUGUAGGAAAAAAAAAUAGACUCCUUCAUGUAUAUAUAAUACAAAAACUAACACUAGAAAAAUCUAGAUAUUUACAUCUUUAUUACUACUUUAUACAAAAUAUCUUAGAUAUUUCUUAUCAAUAGCAAUUCUAGAAUAUUCAAGUUUAUUCAUUAAUAUUAUAUUAUUUAUUACAAAAAUCCUUAAUAUUUUAAUAUUAAAUCAAUUCUAGAAUAUUCCAUUUACUUAUUCUUUAAGAUUUAUUCAUACGUAAAUUUAAAUUUUGCUAGGGGCGAAUCCUCGCUCUAAGUCGGACAACCUGUACAACAUUUUAAAAAAAUCAAAUCCGUUAGUUUUAAUAACGUCAUAAAAUAUUUAAUUUAAACAUAAACAUCUCUAAUAUAUUGUAAUUAAAUUAUAAAUAAAUUAAAAAAGGUUCGGGGUAUUACNACUUAUUCUUGAUAAGCUCUCAUUCUUUAAACUAAUAUUUUUAAUCUCUCUUGAAUAUAUCUUGAUAAUUCUACAAUACACUUGAAGCCGAAGACCAUUAUUGAACAUUUUAUGAAUCUACACAUUAUAAAUUCAUAGUUUCAAUUACUAGUAUAAAUUAUACUAAUCAAACUUCAUUAUAAUCAUAUAAUUUAAUUAUAUAAUAUACCAAGUUUAGAUCACCAUAAUCUUUAUAAUUUAUUUCAAUUCUUGGCUAAUAAUAUUAAAAGCAAAUGUCUUGAUUAUCUAUUUAUGUGUUCAAGGUGAAACAAUCAUCAAAAUCUAAUUCAAAUUCCCAAAUAAAAAUUAAAAUAAGCAUAACAUAUUAAAACUCAUAUUCGACACAUAUGGAGCUACAUCUCGACGUCUAUUCUGGCCAAUUCGACCUUAGAUCUCAAGAAGAAAACCUAUGAUUAGAACGUCUACGACAUGAGCUACAAAACCCCUAAACUUAUUCUCCCUCACGGCAUCGAUUUGACGCCGGAAGGUCGACUCAAACUCGCGCGGAAACCUUCGCGCACAGACCCGACACCCUGACUUGAUUGGCUCAUAACUCCCUCGUCCGGUGUCGGAUUGAUGAUCCGAAGGUACCGUUGGAAAGCCAACGACGAUAGCUUUCCAAUGGUACCUAUAUUGAUGGGGUUUGAUGACAGAAAACAGAUGAAAAACGGAUCGCAAGAUACGACCCUGCUGCUGUCAAAAACAGGGGAAAAUAAAAAACACAGCAACAGACAUGCCGGCAGCCACCACGCCGCCGGAACUACUGUUCCGGUAAUCCCUCCUCCUCACUCACACACAACAGACUCCAUCCCACCAAUAUCUACUCAAGACCUUUAGCCAUCGAUUAAGAAGAACAAGAAUGGAAGAGAAGUGAUAAACCCUUUCAAAUUUAACAAUCAAAAUUGAGAAAAAAAAACAAGUAAUGGAUUAGAAGAAAUUACCUUAAUUAGCUGCUGGAAAUUAAAUGAGAGAAUGAGUGAAGAGUGGUGAUAUGCAAGGAAUGAGAGAGUGAGAGAUUGGAGAGAUAUGAAUGUAG
RNAcentral lists this long non-coding RNA (3061 nucleotides) under Salvia miltiorrhiza (redroot sage). RNAcentral describes it as "long non-coding RNA (SMIL_LNC000809)". Lineage: Eukaryota; Viridiplantae; Streptophyta; Magnoliopsida; Lamiales; Lamiaceae. The record is from RNAcentral.